This 494-nucleotide ribosomal RNA is filed under the name uncultured bacterium. Its description in RNAcentral is "partial 16S ribosomal RNA". It matches the Rfam family "Bacterial small subunit ribosomal RNA", at positions 28 to 507 of the family's 1533-position model. The record is from RNAcentral.
GACGAACGCUGGCGGCGUGCUUAACACAUGCAAGUCGAACGGAAAGGCCUGCUUUCCCUUGUGGAUUGCGGGUACUCGAGUGGCGAACGGGUGAGUAACACGUGAGUGAUCUGCCCCCAACUUGGGUAUAAGCCUGGGAAACUGGGUCUAAUUCCCGAUAGGACUGCAGGGUGGUGCCUGUGGUGGAAAACGAUUUUCUAGUGGUUGGGGAUGAGCUCGCGGCCUAUCAGCUUGUUGGUGGGGUAAUGGCCUACCAAGGCGGCGACGGGUAGCCGGCCUGGGAGAGUGGACGGCCACAUUGGGACUGAGAGACGGCCCAGACUCCUACGGGAGGCAGCAGUGGGGAAUAUUGCACAAUGGGCGGAAGCCUGAUGCAGCGACGCCGCGUGGGGGAUGACGGCCUUCGGGUUGUAAACUCCUUUCGACCGCGAGGAAGCCACCUGGUUGGAAGGGUGGUGACGGUAGUGGUAGAAGAAGCACCGGCUAACUACGUG